UACGUAGGGUGCUAGCGUUGUCCGGAUUUAUUGGGCGUAAAGGGCGUGUAGGCGGCCGUACAGGUCAGCUGUGAAAACUCGAGGCUCAACCUCGAGACGUCGGUUGAAACCAUCUGGCUAGAGCCCGGAAGAGGAGUGUGGAAUUCCCGGUGUAGCGGUGAAAUGCGCAGAUAUCGGGAAGAACACCCGUGGCGAAGGCGGCACUCUGGGACGGUACUGACGCUGAGACGCGAAAGCGUGGGGAGCGAACAGG
This 253-nucleotide ribosomal RNA is filed under the name uncultured bacterium. Its description in RNAcentral is "partial 16S ribosomal RNA". It matches the Rfam family "Bacterial small subunit ribosomal RNA", at positions 524 to 776 of the family's 1533-position model. The record is from RNAcentral.